CCUCUCUAUAAUGCAAUAUCGUAUUAUCCAUUUGUAAUGAAUGAUAGUAACACUAAAUCGGAUUGGAUUCAGUUAAAUCUACAUUUCUCAAGGUCUCUAACAUCGAGAUUUGAAAUAUCUUUCAUGUAAAUACCUUCUUUGUCAUGUGACUUGUAUAUAUUCGUGUAUAUUCAGAAUCGUACCUACGCACAAUGUCUUUGCACAAUGGCACAAGCAACGUGGUCUCUUUCUGUAAAACAUAGCACUCUUUAUUUCAGCCACAGCAAAGAUCCCGAACCACGUGCAGUCAGCAGAGUUACAGCGUCUGGUUACCGUCUUGCAGUUACGAUACAGAAUAUGUGCACAUAGCUUUCAAUGACCAGACGAAAAAAAGAAUUCAUUUCAAGUAUGUCGAGAAGAAAACGUAAGUAAAGCACACUAUUUACAUUCAUAAUACAUUUUAUUCCGCAGGCUCUAUUGUAAAGUUAAACUCUAGCUGCGUAUAGGCUGCCAUUAUCCAUUAUAUUAGACAAUAUGGAUCCACUCAUCUAUACAUCUAUUUUCUUUUGUGACAGGACCCAUCUCUGAAAAAAUCACCUCACCCAAGAAAAUACGACUCAUUCAUGAGAAUGAAAAGUGCAAAGUCUCCCAAGGAAUUGUCUUGUAAUAUAGCAUGUGAAUAAAUAAUUUUUUGAAAUA
This is a long non-coding RNA of Haliotis rufescens (red abalone), 678 nucleotides long. RefSeq lists it as uncharacterized. Lineage: Eukaryota; Metazoa; Mollusca; Gastropoda; Lepetellida; Haliotidae. The record is from RefSeq and is a predicted model, not a curated record. The transcript is spliced from 2 exons.